UGACACUUCCAUUACUGCUCCAUUUAGUCGCCCAUCCAUUACACUGUCGCCAUUUUGCCUAAAAUCCUGCAGGUUGGACUAUAACUCGGAGAGGGGUGUCUGCUCGGUGGGCUUCGAAAUCGCAGCACCUUCUCAAGGCGACCUCGAAGGGUUUCAGUCUUGUAAACUUACAGGAAGGACACGCUGUUCGCUCUUGUCUGACUAGCUAAUACAGUCUUUCUGUCAUUUAUAGAGGUGGUCUUACGUGUCUAAGGGUGGACCCCUGCUCGGACUGUGGAUUAUUCCGAAAACAAGCGGUUAUAAAAUUCUAGGGUGAAGUUGCUGUGGCUCGAAAAAUGUCUUGGCUGGUGGGCAGAGAGUGUGAGAGGGCACAGUGACCUGCUCAGGGCAGUCCAGAAGACCUCAGUAGCUUAACAUUUGAUGCGGCCAGAAAUGGGUCUUCUGUGGAUUAUUUCAAAAUGAGGUCGUCAAAUUCUUGGCUGAGGUGGCUGUCAUCAGAUUGGAAAUCUAGUCUGUGGCUAAGAAGUCCUAAUAAAACUGCGAGGAGUCUGCUGAGUCACUGAUGUUCUGGUUUGGUGACCCUGCACCGAGGACACUGCAACUUUGCAAAUAGGUCUCCCCCAUUAUGCAUGAUGCGCCAAUUUGGGAGGGUGAAGGCUAGCACGUGCUCCCUCUGGGUGACCUUGAAGUGCUACAGGUUAGUUUUUUAACCUGAAUCAGCUCUCGUCACAGCUCAGUGAGUUCCAUUUGAGUUUACACAACUCAGUCUGGCCCGAGUCCAUCAUAAACACUUCCUCUACCAGUGA
This is a long non-coding RNA of Pygocentrus nattereri (red-bellied piranha), 806 nucleotides long. NCBI's taxonomy places the organism in Eukaryota, Metazoa, Chordata, Actinopteri, Characiformes, Serrasalmidae. The record is from Ensembl.